UACGGGGGGGGCAAGCGUUGUUCGGAAUUACUGGGCGUAAAGGGCUCGUAGGCGGCCAACUAAGUCAGACGUGAAAUCCCUCGGCUUAACCGGGGAACUGCGUCUGAUACUGGAUGGCUUGAGUUCGGGAGAGGGAUGCGGAAUUCCAGGUGUAGCGGUGAAAUGCGUAGAUAUCAGGAAGAACACCGGUGGCGAAAGCGCUCUGCUAGGCCGCAACUGACACUGAGGGACGAAAGCUAGGGGAGCGAAUGGG
This 253-nucleotide ribosomal RNA is filed under the name uncultured bacterium. RNAcentral describes it as "partial 16S ribosomal RNA". It matches the Rfam family "Bacterial small subunit ribosomal RNA", at positions 524 to 776 of the family's 1533-position model. The record is from RNAcentral.